UUUAUAUUUAUUUUAUUGGGGUAAUGGAAAGAUUUAUUUAAUUCUUUUUUUUUUCAUUAUUUAUUUAUAUAUUAAUGAUCCUUUAUUAAGGAGUAUAAGAUUAAAUUACCUUAGGGAUAACAGCGUAAUUUUUUUUGAAAGUUCAUAUUGAUAAAAAAGAUUGCGACCUCGAUGUUGGAUUAAAGAUUAAUUUAGGUGCAAAAGUCUAAAUUUUUGGUCUGUUCGACCAUUAAAUCUUUACAUGAUCUGAGUUCAGACCGGUGUGAGCCAGGUCGGUUUCUAUCUUUAUUUAUAUUUAAUAUUUUAGUACGAAAGGACCAAAUAUUUAUUAUAUUAAUUAUUAUUUUGAAUAUUAUU
RNAcentral lists this ribosomal RNA (357 nucleotides) under Microcharidius outereloi. Its description in RNAcentral is "partial large subunit ribosomal RNA". The stretch from base 116 to 274 matches the Rfam family "Bacterial large subunit ribosomal RNA", at positions 2473 to 2632 of the family's 2925-position model. Lineage: Eukaryota; Metazoa; Arthropoda; Insecta; Coleoptera; Carabidae. The record is from RNAcentral.